UAGGGAAUCUUCCGCAAUGGGCGAAAGCCUGACGGAGCAACGCCGCGUGAGUGAUGAAGGUCUUCGGAUCGUAAAACUCUGUUAUUAGGGAAGAACAAAUGUGUAAGUAACUAUGCACAUCUUGACGGUACCUAAUCAGAAAGCCACGGCUAACUACGUGCCAGCAGCCGCGGUAAUACGUAGGUGGCAAGCGUUAUCCGGAAUUAUUGGGCGUAAAGCGCGCGUAGGCGGUUUUUUAAGUCUGAUGUGAAAGCCCACGGCUCAACCGUGGAGGGUCAUUGGAAACUGGAAAACUUGAGUGCAGAAGAGGAAAGUGGAAUUCCAUGUGUAGCGGUGAAAUGCGCAGAGAUAUGGAGGAACACCAGUGGCGAAGGCGACUUUCUGGUCUGUAACUGACGCUGAUGUGCGAAAGCGUAGGGAUCAAACAGG
RNAcentral lists this ribosomal RNA (429 nucleotides) under Bacteroidota bacterium. RNAcentral's name for it is "Bacteroidetes bacterium partial 16S ribosomal RNA". It matches the Rfam family "Bacterial small subunit ribosomal RNA", at positions 355 to 776 of the family's 1533-position model. The record is from RNAcentral. Lineage: Bacteria; Pseudomonadati; Bacteroidota.